This 511-nucleotide ribosomal RNA is filed under the name Theodoxus euphraticus. RNAcentral describes it as "partial large subunit ribosomal RNA". It matches the Rfam family "Bacterial large subunit ribosomal RNA", at positions 1828 to 2597 of the family's 2925-position model. Lineage: Eukaryota; Metazoa; Mollusca; Gastropoda; Cycloneritida; Neritidae. The record is from RNAcentral.
GUCUCUUAGAAAUUAUUAAGAGUCAAGCCUGCCCAGUGAUUGCUUUUUUAACGGCCGCGGUACCCUGACCGUGCAAAGGUAGCAUAAUCAUUUGCCUUUUAAUUGGAGGCUGGUAUGAACGGUUUGACGAGAGUAAAGCUGUCUCACGCACAUCAAUUAGAAACUAAUUUAAAGGUGCAAAAGCCUUUAUAAAACAAAAAGACGAGAAGACCCUGUUGAGCUUUAAUUUUAAUGAGCACCAACCUUAUAUUUAUAUAAUUUAUUUGCUCAAUAAAAAUUUUAAUUGGGGCGAUUAAGGAACACAAUAAAGCUUCCUGACUUUAGUAUUAAAUAUUUAUAAAUUAAAUCGAUCCAGCAAUGCUGAUCAACAAAACGAGUUACCACAGGGAUAACAGCAUAAUUCUUUUUCAGAGCUCAUAUCGAAAAAAGAGAUUGUGACCUCGAUGUUGGACUAGGGUAACAAGAAGGUGUAGCAGCUUUCUCGCUUGGUCUGUUCGACCAAUAAUUCCCU